GUUAAAGAAGCGAAUGUAACGCACUAAGUUUCGGCCUUAGCUCUGAAGAUUUAUUUCCUUUAAUU
RNAcentral lists this transfer RNA (65 nucleotides) under Salinator rhamphidia. RNAcentral's name for it is "tRNA-Arg". The record is from RNAcentral. Lineage: Eukaryota; Metazoa; Mollusca; Gastropoda; Amphibolidae.